CGACCCCAGGACAGGCGAGACACUCGCUU
RNAcentral lists this ribosomal RNA (29 nucleotides) under Garcinia gummi-gutta. RNAcentral describes it as "partial 28S ribosomal RNA". Lineage: Eukaryota; Viridiplantae; Streptophyta; Magnoliopsida; Malpighiales; Clusiaceae. The record is from RNAcentral.